UUCAAGAUACAGAACUAUUUGGCUCUGUUUAUUUUUGUUCCAAGUGGGCAGGACCCUCUUGCCUGUUGUGACUAAUCCACUUGUCAGGGCUGGAAUCUCCUAACAGUUCCUCCAGGUCCAUGCUGGGCGUCGGAGGGGCUCAGUCCCGCGUCCGCGAUCUCCGCUGCGGGAACUCCGGCGCCGCUACCGCUGCUACUCAGCCUGCGCCCUCGAACUUCCGCAGCCCGGUUCGGCAGCGGCUGGGACCUGGAACAAAGAGGCCCUGGCAGCCAAUGGCAGCGGGGCAGCGCCGGGUAGCGGCCAAUCAGCGCGCGCCGCACGCACCUUCGCGGCCGGAGCGUGCGGCUGGCAAGGUGAGGGGCGGGGCCGCGAGGGGCGGGGCCCUGCGGAGUUCCCUG
This 398-nucleotide long non-coding RNA is filed under the name Mus pahari (shrew mouse). Its description in RNAcentral is "lncRNA (MGP_PahariEiJ_G0002890.1)". Lineage: Eukaryota; Metazoa; Chordata; Mammalia; Rodentia; Muridae. The record is from RNAcentral.